RNAcentral lists this transfer RNA (72 nucleotides) under Camelus bactrianus (Bactrian camel). It matches the Rfam family "tRNA". Rfam says of the family: Transfer RNA (tRNA) molecules are approximately 80 nucleotides in length. The record is from Rfam by way of RNAcentral. Lineage: Eukaryota; Metazoa; Chordata; Mammalia; Artiodactyla; Camelidae. RNAcentral also lists the same sequence under 2 other names.
GAGGGUGGAGCUCAGUGGUAGAGCACAUACUUAGCAUGCAUGUGGUCCUGGGUUCAAACCCUAGUACCUCCA